Molecule: Y RNA, 106 nt
Filed under: Prolemur simus (greater bamboo lemur)
Lineage: Eukaryota; Metazoa; Chordata; Mammalia; Primates; Lemuridae
Description: Y RNA (ENSPSMG00000002777.1)
Rfam family: Y RNA
About the family: Y RNAs are components of the Ro ribonucleoprotein particle (Ro RNP), in association with Ro60 and La proteins.
Source: Rfam by way of RNAcentral
AGUUGGUCCAAGUGCAACGAGCAGUGUUUACAACUAAUUGAUCACAAUCAGUUACAGAUUUCUUUGUUCCUUCUCCAUUCCCACUGCUUCACUUGACCAGCCUUAA